Molecule: ribosomal RNA, 470 nt
Filed under: uncultured bacterium
Lineage: Bacteria
Description: partial 16S ribosomal RNA
Rfam family: Bacterial small subunit ribosomal RNA
Source: RNAcentral
UGGGGAAUUUUGGACAAUGGGGGCAACCCUGAUCCAGCAAUGCCGCGUGUGUGAAGAAGGCCUUCGGGUUGUAAAGCACUUUUGUCCGGAAAGAAAACGCCGUGGUUAAUACCCGUGGCGGAUGACGGUACCGGAAGAAUAAGCACCGGCUAACUACGUGCCAGCAGCCGCGGUAAUACGUAGGGUGCAAGCGUUAAUCGGAAUUACUGGGCGUAAAGCGUGCGCAGGCGGUCCGCUAAGACAGAUGUGAAAUCCCCGGGCUUAACCUGGGAACUGCAUUUGUGACUGGCGGGCUAGAGUAUGGCAGAGGGGGGUAGAAUUCCACGUGUAGCAGUGAAAUGCGUAGAGAUGUGGAGGAAUACCGAUGGCGAAGGCAGCCCCCUGGGCCAAUACUACGCUCAUGCACGAAAAGCGUGGGGGAGCAAACAGGAUUAGAUACCCUGGUAGUCCACGCCCUAAACGAUGUCAAC